UCAGUCGACUCCUACGGGGAGGCAGCAGUGGGGAAUAUUGCACAAUGGGGGAAACCCUGAUGCAGCCAUGCCGCGUGUGUGAAGAAGGCCUUCGGGUUGUAAAGCACUUUCAGUAGGGAGGAAGGUAGUGUAGUUAACACCUGCAUUAUUUGACGUUACCUACAGAAGAAGCACCGGCUAACUCCGUGCCAGCAGCCGCGGUAAUACGGAGGGUGCGAGCGUUAAUCGGAAUUACUGGGCGUAAAGCGCAUGCAGGCGGCCUGUUAAGUCAGAUGUGAAAGCCCGGGGCUUAACCUCGGAAUUGCAUUUGAAACUGGCAGGCUAGAGUCUUGUAGAGGGGGGUAGGAAUUUCAGGUGUAGCGGUGAAAUGCGUAGAGAUCUGAAGGAAUACCAGUGGCGAAGGCGCCCCCCUGGACAAAGACUGACGCUCAGAUGCGAAAGCGUGGGGAGCAAACAGGAUUAGAUACCCUGGUAG
Molecule: ribosomal RNA, 475 nt
Filed under: uncultured bacterium
Lineage: Bacteria
Description: bacterial SSU rRNA
Rfam family: Bacterial small subunit ribosomal RNA
Source: RNAcentral